GUGCCAGCAGCCGCGGUAAUACAGAGGUCCCAAGCGUUGUUCGGAUUCACUGGGCGUAAAGGGUGCGCAGGUGGCGCUUCAAGUUUGAUGUGAAAGCCCCAAGCUCAACUUGGGAAUGGCAUUGAAUACUGAGGUGCUUGAGGUUUGGAGGGGGGACUGGAAUUCUCGGUGUAGCAGUGAAAUGCGUAGAUAUCGAGAGGAACACCAGUGGCGAAGGCGAGUCCCUGGACAACACCUGACACUGAGGCACGAAAGCUAGGGGAGCAAACAGGAUUAGAUACCCUGGUAGUCCUAGCCCUAAACGGUGUGCGUUUGCUGUAGGAGGAAUCGACCCCUUCUGUGGCGAAGCUAACGCGAUAAACGCACCGCCUGGGGAGUACGGUCGCAAGAUUAAAACUCAAAGAAAUUGACGGGGGCCUGCACAAGCGGUGGAGUAUGUGGCUUAAUUCGAUGCAACGCGAAGAACCUUACCUGGCCUUGACAUGCAUGUGGUAGAACCGUGAAAGCGGGACGACCCCGCAAGGGGAGCAUGCACAGGUGCUGCAUGGCUGUCGUCAGCUCGUGUCGUGAGAUGUUGGGUUAAGUCCCGCAACGAGCGCAACCCUUAUGUCCUGUUGCCACCCGAACGAGAGUUUGGAGCACUCUGGACAGACUGCCUCGCUUAAACGGGGAGGAAGGUGGGGAUGACGUCAAGUCAGUAUGGCCCUUACGGCCAGGGCUGCACACGUACUACAAUGCCCGGCACAAAGGGAAGCAAGACCGUCAGGUGGAGCAAAUCCCAGAAAACCGGGCCCAGUUCAGAUUGUCGUCUGCAACUCGACGGCAUGAAG
This 830-nucleotide ribosomal RNA is filed under the name uncultured bacterium. RNAcentral describes it as "bacterial SSU rRNA". It matches the Rfam family "Bacterial small subunit ribosomal RNA", at positions 505 to 1325 of the family's 1533-position model. The record is from RNAcentral.